GGUGAACGCUGGCGGCGUGCUUAACACAUGCAAGUCGAACGAAGCACUUUGGACGGAUUCUUCGGAUGAAGUCCCUGGUGACUGAGUGGCGGACGGGUGAGUAAACGCGUGGGUAACCUGCCUCAUACAGGGGGAUAACAGUUAGAAAAUGGCUGCUAAUACCGCAUAAGCGCACAGUACUGCAUGGUACAGUGUGAAAAAACUCCGGUGGUAUGAGAUGGACCCGCGUUGA
RNAcentral lists this ribosomal RNA (232 nucleotides) under uncultured bacterium. RNAcentral describes it as "partial 16S ribosomal RNA". It matches the Rfam family "Bacterial small subunit ribosomal RNA", at positions 28 to 239 of the family's 1533-position model. The record is from RNAcentral.